Molecule: ribosomal RNA, 408 nt
Filed under: uncultured bacterium
Lineage: Bacteria
Description: partial 16S ribosomal RNA
Rfam family: Bacterial small subunit ribosomal RNA
Source: RNAcentral
GACGAACGCUGGCGGCGUGCUUAACACAUGCAAGUCGAACGAAGUGGCGGACGGGUGAGUAACGCGUAAUCAACCUGCCCUUCAGAGGGGGACAACAGUUGGAACCGACUGCUAAUACCGCAUACUGAAGGAGGGGAUUGCGUGUGAUUAGCUAGUUGGAGGGGUAACGGCCCACCAAGGCGAUGAUCAGUAGCCGGUCUGAAGGGAUGAACGGCCACAUUUGGAAUGGGAAAAGGCCCAGAAUCCUAAGGGAGGCAGCAAUGGGGAAAUUUCCGCAAUGGACGAAAGUCUGAAGGAGGAAAGCCGCGUUGGUGAUGAAGGCCUUCGGGUUGGAAAGCUAUGUUAAUCGGGAAGCGGUACCGGAAUAGAAAGCAACGGCUAACUACGUGCCAGCAGCCGCGGUAAUUC